RNAcentral lists this small RNA (179 nucleotides) under Arabidopsis thaliana (thale cress). RNAcentral's name for it is "ATSL187630". Lineage: Eukaryota; Viridiplantae; Streptophyta; Magnoliopsida; Brassicales; Brassicaceae. The record is from RNAcentral.
AUAGGUAUUACUGUAUUAUUGAGAGAGGACAUCGUAAUAAAUAUAUAAGUAUCCCGUGAUGUGAUUGAUAUAAAUUAGGGAAGACAUAAUUUUGGCAAAUCUUCUUCUGCCUACAGUAGUUAUUUGAUCAAUAAUCACAUCUGGAUUUAUUCAUUAAUAUAUGGAUAUUUUGGGACAAA